ACGGGAGGCAGCAGUGGGGAAUAUUGGGCAAUGGGGGAAACCCUGACCCAGCAACGCCGCGUGAAGGAAGAAGGCUUUCGGGUUGUAAACUUCUUUUAACAGGGAAGAUAAUGACGGUACCUGUUGAAUAAGCCACGGCUAACUACGUGCCAGCAGCCGCGGUAAUACGUAGGUGGCAAGCGUUAUCCGGAUUUACUGGGUGUAAAGGGCGCGUAGGCGGGAGUGCAAGUCAGAUGUGAAAUCCAUGGGCUUAACCCAUGAACUGCAUUUGAAACUGUGCUUCUUGAGUGUCGGAGAGGUAGAUGGAAUUCCUAGUGUAGCGGUGAAAUGCGUAGAUAUUAGGAAGAACACCAGUGGCGAAGGCGAUCUACUGGACGAUAACUGACGCUGAGGCGCGAAAGCGUGGGGAGCAAACAGGAUUAGAUACCCUGGUA
Molecule: ribosomal RNA, 434 nt
Filed under: uncultured Oscillospiraceae bacterium
Lineage: Bacteria; Bacillati; Bacillota; Clostridia; Eubacteriales; Oscillospiraceae
Description: bacterial SSU rRNA
Rfam family: Bacterial small subunit ribosomal RNA
Source: RNAcentral